RNAcentral lists this ribosomal RNA (483 nucleotides) under uncultured bacterium. RNAcentral's name for it is "partial 16S ribosomal RNA". It matches the Rfam family "Bacterial small subunit ribosomal RNA", at positions 29 to 507 of the family's 1533-position model. The record is from RNAcentral.
AUUGAACGCUGGCGGCAUGCUUUACACAUGCAAGUCGAACUGCAGCGCGGGCUUCGGCCUGGCGGCGAGUGGCGAACGGGUGAGUAAUGCAUCGGAACGUGCCCAGUAGUGGGGGAUAGCCCGGCGAAAGCCGGAUUAAUACCGCAUACGACCUGAGGGUGAAAGCGGGGGACCGAAAGGCCUCGCGCUAUUGGAGCGGCCGAUGUCGGAUUAGCUAGUUGGUGGGGUAAAGGCUUACCAAGGCGACGAUCCGUAGCUGGUCUGAGAGGACGACCAGCCACACUGAGACUGAGACACGGCCCAGACUCCUACGGGAGGCAGCAGUGGGGAAUUUUGGACAAUGGGGGCAACCCUGAUCAAGCCAUGCCGCGUGCGGGAAGAAGGCCUGCGGGUUGUAAGCCGCUUUUGUUCGGGAAGAAAUCCUCUGGGCUAAUACCCCGGGGGAUGACGGUACCGGAAGAAUAAGCACCGGCUAACUACGUG